UACGGAGGGUGCGAGCGUUGUCCGGAAUCAUUGGGCGUAAAGGGCGCGUAGGUGGCCCGGUCAGUCUUUGGUGAAAGCGCGGGGCUCAACCCUGCGUCGGCCAGGGAUACUGCCGCGGCUCGAGCACUGUAGAGGCAGGCGGAAUUCCGGGUGGUAGCGGUGGAAUGCGUAGAGAUCGGGAGGAACAUCUGUGGCGAAGGCGGCCAUCUGGACCAGCACUGACACUGAGGCACGAAAGCGUGGGGAGCAAACAGG
This 255-nucleotide ribosomal RNA is filed under the name uncultured bacterium. RNAcentral describes it as "partial 16S ribosomal RNA". It matches the Rfam family "Bacterial small subunit ribosomal RNA", at positions 524 to 776 of the family's 1533-position model. The record is from RNAcentral.